AAGUCGUAACAAGGUCACCGUAGGUGAACCUGCGGAAGGAUCAUUAACACGUUAUCCACGUAUCAACCAAUCGAGAACUUGUUUUCACGUCUCCCUUUGCAAUUUGAAUGAAUUGGAACCAGUUUGAGGGAAUUGAUGUGGAUUGCAUUCAUUUGCAAUCGGCCUUCCUGGUAUACUUAUGAGCUAUUGAAAAAUAGUUUGUUAACAAUUGUAUCUUAUUGCUGAAAGGCCAAAUUUCUUUCGAUAUUUUGAUCUCCAUCAUGAUCAAUAAAGUAUUGAAGGAGAAAACCUUAUAAAACUAUUUUCACCACCUUUUUGCUAGUUGACUUUUUAUAUGUGAUUGUUUUGCUUAAUUGCAAUGUAGUCGCACGUUUAAUUACUUGAACGUUAAAAAAUACAACUCUUAGCAAUGGAUAUCUUGGUUCUC
Molecule: unclassified non-coding RNA, 427 nt
Filed under: fungal sp.
Lineage: Eukaryota; Fungi
Description: partial internal transcribed spacer region
Rfam family: Eukaryotic small subunit ribosomal RNA (bases 1-46)
Source: RNAcentral